This 618-nucleotide ribosomal RNA is filed under the name Sporobolomyces pararoseus. RNAcentral describes it as "eukaryotic LSU rRNA". The stretch from base 193 to 346 matches the Rfam family "5.8S ribosomal RNA". The record is from RNAcentral. Lineage: Eukaryota; Fungi; Basidiomycota; Microbotryomycetes; Sporidiobolales; Sporidiobolaceae.
AAUAAUGAUCCUUCUUCCGUAGGUGAACCUGCGGAAGGAUCAUUAUUGAAAACAAGGGUGUCCAAUUUAACUUGGAACCCAAACUUCUCAAUUCUAACUUUGUGCAUCUGUAUUAAUGGCGAGCAACUUCGGUUGUGAGCCUUCACUUACAAAACACUAGUCUAUGAAUGUAAAAUUUUUAUAACAAAUAAAAACUUUCAACAACGGAUCUCUUGGCUCUCGCAUCGAUGAAGAACGCAGCGAAAUGCGAUACGUAAUGUGAAUUGCAGAAUUCAGUGAAUCAUCGAAUCUUUGAACGCAUCUUGCGCUCUCUGGUAUUCCGGAGAGCAUGUCUGUUUGAGUGUCAUGAAUUCUUCAACCCAAUCUUUUCUUGUAAUCGAUUGGUGUUUGGAUUCUGAGCGUUGCUGGCGUUUGCCUAGCUCGUUCGUAAUACAUUAGCAUCCCUAAUACAAGUUUGGAUUGACUUGGCGUAAUAGACUAUUCGCUAAGGAUUCGGUGGAAACAUCGAGCCAACUUCAUUAAGGAAGCUCCUAAUUUAAAAGUCUACCUUUUGAUUAGAUCUCAAAUCAGGCAGGAUUACCCGCUGAACUUAAGCAUAUCAAUAAGCGGAGGAAAAAA